This is a long non-coding RNA of Zeugodacus cucurbitae (melon fly), 594 nucleotides long. RefSeq lists it as uncharacterized. Lineage: Eukaryota; Metazoa; Arthropoda; Insecta; Diptera; Tephritidae. The record is from RefSeq and is a predicted model, not a curated record. The transcript has 2 exons.
GUGUGUGUUGAAAUUUACGUUGAAAUAAAAAUAGAGUGUGUUUGAAGUUGAUGUGGUUUAUUGUCAUUCUAUUAUAAUAAAAAAUGAAGAAAAUGAUCUGUUGUAAAUCUAAUGCAGAAGAAAUUUAAAUUAAAGCCUCCUCAAAUAUCCUUUUUUCUUUCACCAAUUCUUUUGUUGUAAAAUCAGCAUUCGACGUUCAAUGCUUUUGUGGACAAAAUACAUGACUUAAGGCACAAUUGAGUUGCUCAGUCAUCUGCUUGAUGCGAAAAUUGUUGGGGAAAAACUGAAAGAAAGCGAAAGACGGGCGCAACGGAAAAACUAGAAUAAUCACAAAAAAUAGGAAAAAAAAUUAAAUAGUAUAAAAAAUAAAACAAGAAAUUUGCGAACAGCCGGAAAUACCAUGAUUUCUCUCAACUGUUCACAACUUAAGGGGCUAGAAAGUGAAACCAGCAAAUACAACAAAGCCAACAAUAUGAAUAACGCAAAAACCAUGACUGCCUCAAAUUUCAAAAAUUUCUAAUAUUUUUAUUUACUACUUUUUUCUGUUAUUUUGUAAUUGUAUCUGUACUCGUAUACACUUUCUUGCACCGACAA